GACGCUCCCCUUAUGAUACUGGAAGUGAAACAGAACCCUUCUCUACAUUGACUUCCAAAUUCCAGCCUUUUUCUGCUGCCUCUCUCUUUAGUUCCUGGAUUUGAGCCUCUAUUUGAAAGCAUGCCACUUGGAUUUCCAUAUUUUUUUCACAAAGCUCCUUCCAUUGCGUGGACAAAGCAUGGAGCUCAUAUGCAGCCUUUUGUUGAUGAAAUUUCCUUUCACGGUUCACUUUUUCAAUCUUCUCAUUCUGUUCUUGAGCUAAUUUUUGCAUUCUUGAUAGAAGUGCUUCCAACUGUUUGUUGUGUUGCUUCCAGAUAUCAG
Molecule: unclassified non-coding RNA, 321 nt
Filed under: Hevea brasiliensis (rubber tree)
Lineage: Eukaryota; Viridiplantae; Streptophyta; Magnoliopsida; Malpighiales; Euphorbiaceae
Source: RNAcentral